This is a non-coding RNA of Caerostris darwini, 135 nucleotides long. NCBI's taxonomy places the organism in Eukaryota, Metazoa, Arthropoda, Arachnida, Araneae, Araneidae. The record is from the annotation of a GenBank genome assembly.
AACGGCCAUACCAUGCUGAAUAUACCGGUUCUCGUUAGAUAACCGGGCUCGUUAGAUAACUCGUUCGAUAAUAGAUAAUCAUUGGGCGCGAUCAGUACUUGGGUGGGUGACCACCUGGGAAUCACCGCGUGCCGU